GUAAGUUUUUGGUUGCUGUUUGUGUGGGAUCAGCCCAUUUAAAAGCUGGAGGCCCAACAAGAAGUCAGAGCCGCCCAACGUUCUAAUAUAACAAAGGCGUGUUUCUAACAAAUUACAGGUAACGUUUCUUCUAGGAUGAUGACACUUGGCAAAAAUAAAACCGUUGGAUGGAGAAGUGAUCAUUUUCACACAUAUUAGGGUUAGAAACUUGUAGGGUUUUACUUUCAUUUUCUCGAACAGCUUCUAGAAUUCUCUAUUCUCUCUCUGUAAUUUCUUUCUUCGUGAAUCUCUGAAAUCGUGUGUAAUUUUUGAGAGUUUGAGAGUUGAUGAACUCUUGUAUGAGUCCAUCCUGUUUGUAACAAGGCCAUGUGUUGGCCGUGAACUGAACUCUGCGUUCCGUGUAUUGUUGAAGCUGUUCUUGGCCGAUUUUUUUAGUGGAUUUAAGCUUAUUCCUUUGUGGAUGCUCAACGGGGAUUAGACAACUGAGAAGUUGUUGAACCUCGGGGUUUAGGCCGAAAAAUCGCUGUGUUCUUAUUUUUGUGUUUUUCAGAUCUACACUUGAUCUUGUAUAUUUUUGCGAUUUCUUGCAUCUUUGACUUCGAUUCUGAACCUACAGUGGUAUCAGAGCUUUUGGAAAAAUUGUUGUUGUCGUUUUCAGACUCUUUGAGUUUAGGGUUCUGAAACUGGAACCAAGAGAGGUUCUCCGGCCAAAAAGAAAAACGGCAGAUCUUUUCAGAUCUGCCAACAGUCAACUUUAUUUUUUUGUUUAUGCCCUUUUUUCUUUAUUUUUGGUUCGUAAAAGAAAUUUUUUUUAAAGGAAAGGAAGCUGUCCUUUGGGUGUAUUUCUCUAAAAAUAUCGAGAUCUUGAGCUGUUUUGUUGUUCUCUUAAAAAGUAAAAGGAAGAUAUAUAAUUUUACUUUUCUGGAACCUACGGUAUUUUAUCAAAUAAUCCUCUGUUCAGGUUUUGUCAAGUGAUUUUUUGUUGGGGUCUUGUGAUCAUCAGUGCCUCUUGAGUAUUAUUUUGAAAUCUUGUAGUUUCGUGUGAUCCCUUGGGGUUACCUGCAAACACUUGCAGUGAAUUAGUUUGGGGUAACAAAAUUUUUUUCUAAAAAAAAAAAAAAAAAAAAAAACAAGGUCUCAAGCUGAAUCUCCCCUAAAUCUUCCUCUGUCUAGGGGUCCCUAUGAGAACCCUAGAAUCUUUGGGGAUUAGGGCUUCGAUUCUUGAAACCUAUGCCACUUGUGUGUGUGAAUUCUAGCAAUACCCAGAAUUGAAAUACUGUAUUCCUGAAUUGCAUACUCAUUUGUUAAAUUGCACUAAUAUUUUUCUUUUGAUCUCCUCAGGUGUGAAUUACAGUUUUCACCUGAAAAUAAUUCCCUACGAAAGGUAUAAAUAUUUUUAUUAUACCAUUUGAUAGCUUACUGUGUGUAACUAUUUAAAAAAAAAAACUCCAUUGUAUGCUUAGUGAUAUGUGUUAUUAAUCUGUAUUGAUCUAUGUGACAUACUUAUGUACACAUCACACUAGAGCACAAGUAAUAUGAAAUUGUGAAAUUGGAAUAAAUUGACAUUGAUCUGCUGUGACAUACUGUUGACUGAAUAAUUGUUGUGGGAUAAAUUUUGUUUGUUGUAUCUACUUGUGCACUGUUUUGAUAUAUAUAUAUAUAUAUAUAUCACUGCACACAAUGAACUCUAAGGUAGAUGUCCAAAUUUGGGAUGGCAAAGGAGACUUUAGUCUCUGGCGCCAAAAAAUGAGAGCCCUUAUGCUACAGUUGAAAUGUAAUAAGGCCAUUGAUGAAUCUUGGCCAGAAAACCUACCUGAGGUUAGGAAAACUGAACAAGAUGAACUGGCCUGGAGCACUUUGUUCCUGCAUUUGUCUGAUUCUGUGAUUAGGAAAGUAGGAGAAACUAGUACUGCUGUAGAACUUUGGACUGCCUUAGAAAAACAUUAUCUCACAAAGACUGUACCAAAUAAGUGUUUUCUAUGGCGACAAUUCUUCAGCUUUAAGUUUGACCCUAACCUUGAAAUAGAAGAUAGCAUGGAUAAAUUCAAUAGGAUCACACAAGACUUAGUGAACUGUGAUGAAAAGAUAUCUGAUGAACAAAAAGUUGUUGGUCUACUUAAUGCUUUAGGAGAUAAAUAUAAAGAUAUAAGAAACGCCCUAGAGUAUGGUAAGAGUGAUCUCACUGUUGAAAUAAUCCACAGUUCUCUCCUAAGUAGAAAACUGGAAUCUAAAUCUGAACACAAAGUGGUGUUCAAUACUAUGGGUGUGCAAUCAAACCAAAAGACCCACAUGAAGGGUGUGAGUAAUUUCAGUCAUUCUAAUUUUAACAAGGAUAAAAACUUCAUCAAAAGAAAAUGGAGUAACACAAGAGUUAAGGACAAGAAACCAAAUAAAGGAAAACCAAACAACACAAACAAUAGAAAAUGCUUCUACUAUGGUAGGACUGGGCACUAUAUAAAGGACUAUUUCAAAAAGGCCAAUGAUCAAAGAAAUGGGUCUAACACUGAAAAUGCUUCUUUAGCCAUUGCUGCUAAUCAAAAAGAAGCUGGAAUCAAUAAUGGGGUUGCCUAUGUGUCUGUAACUGAAAGAAGUAAUCAGGAUUGGGUCCUAGAUUCAGGAUGCUCUUUCCAUAUGACACCCAAUAUUGACUGCCUCUCAGACUUUUGUAGUCUUGAUGGAGGAUCGAUAAAAGUUGGAAAUGACGAGUCAUGUCAAGUAAAGGGUGUUGGCAAUGUGUUGCUGAAACUCAAAAAUGGUCAUCACAUGCUGUUGAAACAUACUAGAUAUGUGCCAGCACUUCGAAGAAAUCUCAUAUCCCUAGGAGUUCUUGAUGAUUAAUAUUAUCAAAUUGAAAUAAAGAAUGGUUUUACAAAUAUAAAAAGAGAUCAGGAACUAAUUGUUAGUUCACCCAAGUAUAAUGGGAUUUAUAUAUUAGGUGCCGAAAUAAUCUCACCUAAUAAUGCUGUGAAUUUUGUCACACAUCCCGAUAAAUCAGAAUUAUGGCAUAAAAGACUUGGCCAUUUAGGUGAAAAAGGUUUGAAAAAUCUAUCACAUCCAGGGGCAUUUGGAAGAGACAGCGUUCAAAAACUAACCUUUUGUGAACACUGUAUAAUGGGAAAGCAAGUCAGACUGCAUUUCAAGGUAGGGCUGCACAAAUCCUAAGAUGUCCUUGAAUACAUACAUUCUGAUUUAUGGGGACCUGCACCUGUUUCAACUAUCUCUGGUUAUAGAUAUUAUCUUCUUAUCACUGAUGACUAUUCCAGAAAAAUAUGGAUUUUCUUAUUAAAAUCUAAGUCUGAUAAUUUUGCAAUUUUCAAAGAAUGGAAUGUAUUAAUUGAAAAUCAGACUGGUAAGAAGAUAAAAUUUUUAAGAACUGACAACGGUCUUGAAUUUUGUAACACAGAAUUUGAUCAGUAUUGUGGAAAACAAGGGAUUAUGAGACAUAGAACUGUAAUCUAUACCCCUCAGCAAAAUGGAGUUGUUAAGAGGUUAAAUAGAACCAUUCUUGAGAGGACCAGAUGUAUGUUAAUUAGUUCUGGCCUACCAAAAGUCUUCUGGGGAGGAGCAGUAAAAACUGCAUGUUAUCUAAUUAAUAGAUGUCCAUCCAGCUUUUUGAAUAAUCAGAUUCCUGAACAAAUCUGGUCUGGCACAAUCCCAAAUUAUUCCUACCUAAGAACUUUUGGAUGUGCAGCUUAUGCACAUCACACUGAAUCAAAACUGGAUCCUAGAUCUCUGAAGGGUGUGUUCUUAGGAUAUGGAGAAGGUGUUAAAGGGUAUAGACUGUGGUUAAAAGAUGUGAGAGGUUAUAAAGUGAUAAUAAGUAGAUCUGUUAUUUUUAACGAAGAUGUCUUUCCUUGUCUUAGUGACAAAUCUGAUGAAAGAUUAGGAAAUGAUGAUUUUGUUAUCACAGAAAUCAAUUUUGAUACCCAAAACAUAAAUGACCAGGCUCAGUUUGAGGUAGAGCCACAUCAGGUGGAACCACAGAUUACUAUAGAUGAUGAUAUCCCUGAAAAUGAGCAAUGUUUGGAGCCUGCACAUGACCUGCAGGACUACCAGCUUGCUAGGGACAGAGAUAGGAGGCAAAUCAAGCCUCCUACUAGGUAUCAAUAUGCUGAUUUUGCAACUGAUCAGUCCGAGUCUGAUUUGUUUGAUUCAGAACCUACCUCUUAUGAAGAGGCUAUCUCCUCUAAGGAAUUCCCUAAGUGGAAUGCUGCAAUGAAAGAGGAAAUGAACUCCCUCUAUAAAAAUCAAACCUGGAUUUUAGUUGAAAGACCAAAAGAUUGCAAAUUGAUUGAUUGUAAAUGGGUCUAUAAGAUUAAAGAAGGUGAGAUUGAAACUAGUGAUAAAAGGUACAAGGCAAGACUUGUAGCAAAAGGCUUCAAUCAAAGAGAAGGGAUAGACUACACUGAAAUUUUUUCACCGGUUAAAUAUACAUCCAUUAGAAUCCUACUUGCCUUAGUGACACAGUUUAACUUGGAGUUAGAACAACUUGAUGUGAAAACUGCUUCUUGUAUGGUUUUUUGGAUGAAACCAUACAUAUGACUCAACCAAAGGGUUUUGAAGUAAAAGGAAAGGGGAACUUAGUGUGUCUCUUAAAAAAAUCCUUGUAUGGCCUAAAACAAGCUCCUAGGCAGUGGUAUAAAAGAUUUGACUCGUUUAUACAAGGUUUAGACUUUAAGAAAUUUGAAUAUGGUCCCUGUUUUUAUUUUAAGAAAGAUGGUAAAUCUGAAUUUUCUAUGUUCUCUUGUAUGUUGAUGAUAUGCUCCUAGCUGGACAUAAUUCUGUUACACUCAAUCAAAUUAAAGAAAAUCUGAAAUCUGAAUUUGAAAUGAAAGACCUUGGACCAGCUAGAAAAAUUUUGGGCAUGGAAAUAAAAAGGGAUAGAAUAAAUGGAAAAUUGUUCCUAACUCAAAAAUCUUAUAUUGAUAAGGUAGUAAAAAGAUUUUCUCUUCAUGAUUCUAAACCUGUUAGUCUACCUCUAUCUUCGUGCAUGAAACUAUCUGUUAAUCACUCACCAAAAACUGAAGAAGAACAUAAUAGGAUGAUGAAUGUUCCAUACUCUAAUACUGUUGGAUCUGUUAUGUAUAUUAUGGUAUGUACUAGACCUGAUAUUGCUUUUGCUGUGAGUGUGUUAAGCAGACUUAUGAGUAACCCAGGUGAAAUACAUUGGCAAUGUAUGAAAAAUCUGAUUAAAUACUUAAAAGGUACUAGCCAAUUAGGUUUAAUGUUCAAAACUGAUAAAAAUGGACUUAGACUUAAGGGUUAUGUAGAUUCAGACUUUGCUGGAAAUCCUGAUAACAGGAAGUCCACAACUGCAUAUUUUUAUGUCAUUAAUAACACAUGCAUUAGCUGGAAAUCCCAACUUCAAAAACCGGUUGCAUUAUCUUCAACUGAGACUGAAUAUAUUGCUGCAACUGAGGCUGUUAAAGAGGGGUUAUGGUUAAAGGGAUUACUUGGUGAGUUAGGUCUUGUAGAAAAUGAGGUGGAGCUAUGUUCUGACAACCAAAGUGCAAUUUUUAUAAGUAAAAAUCCAAUCUUGCAUGAUAGAUCAAAGCAUAUAGAUGUAAAGUUUCAUUUUAUUAGAGAUAUCAUAGAUAGAGGUGAUAUUAAAUUGACAAAAAUAUCUAUCAAGGUAAACCCUGCAGAUGCUGGAACCAAGGUAAUUCCUAUCAAUAAGUUUGCUGAUUCUUUGAGAUUAAUAAAUCUUGAAGAAGGCUAAUUCUUUUUAUUUUUGCAGGUAAUAAGAGCAAAUGAAACAAAUGAUAAGUUCUUGAAUCCACAAUGGUGCAAGCAAAUAGCAAAGGUGGAGAUUGUAAGUUUUUGGUUGCUGUUUGUGUGGGAUCAGCCCAUUUAAAAGCUGGAGGCCCAACAAGAAGUCAGACCCGCCCAAUGUUCUAAUAUAACAAAGGCGUGUUUCUAACAAAUUACAAGUAACGUUUCUUCUAGGAUGAUGACACUUGGCAAAAAUAAAACCGUUGGAUGGAGAAGUGAUCAUUUUCACACAUAUUAGGGUUAGAAAUUUGUAGGGUUUUACUUUCAUUUUCUCGAACAGCUUCUAGAAUUCUCUAUUCUCUCUCUGUAAUUUCUUUCUUCGUGAAUCUCUGAAAUCGUGUGUAAUUUUUGAGAGUUUGAGAGUUGAUGAACUCUUGUGUGAGUCCAUCCUGUUUGUAACAAGGCCAUGUGUUGGCCGUGAACUGAACUCUGCGUUCUGUGUAUUGUUGAAACUGUUCUUGGCCGGUUUUUUUAGUAGAUUCGAGUUUAUUCCUUUGUGGAUGCUCAACGGGGAUUAGACAAUUGAGAAGUUGUUGAACCUCGGGGCUCAGGCUGAAAAAUCGCUGUGUUCUUAUUUUUGUGUUUUUCAGAUCUACACUUGAUCUUGUAUAUUUUUGUGAUUUCUUGCGUCUUUGACUUCGAUUUUGAACCUACAG
RNAcentral lists this long non-coding RNA (6428 nucleotides) under Olea europaea (common olive). Its description in RNAcentral is "long non-coding RNA (OEUR_LNC005598)". The record is from RNAcentral. Lineage: Eukaryota; Viridiplantae; Streptophyta; Magnoliopsida; Lamiales; Oleaceae.